Taeniopygia guttata (zebra finch) is the source of this 9526-nucleotide long non-coding RNA. Lineage: Eukaryota; Metazoa; Chordata; Aves; Passeriformes; Estrildidae. The record is from Ensembl.
UUUAAAAAAUGAAAUCUUUACAACUCCUCAGUUUUCUGACUGAAAGAAGUAGUCAUGCUGUUUUAUUCAAUUUUCUUGAGUGUGUCCACAUUCAAAAAGGAGACCGAAAUGGCUGCUAUCAAUGGUUUAAUAGUAACCAGAGAAAUCAUGAUACUCCAGAAAAUGUCACCUAACUGUUCUGCCAAAUGGUCCUUAAUUCUACUUCUGUGGCUUUUCAGGGAAAAGAUGCUGAGAGCUGAAGCCAAAACAAAACUUGAAGGUUUUGUCUAAGCUUCAUGUCAUGACCAAAGGUGAAGGAUCAAGAUGUAUUAUUCACUCCUGAGGUCUGUUAUUUAGGAGAUUUCUUUGUUGUUGAUGUGAAGGCUGCAGAUUAAACCACUACAAGGCAGUUCACCCAUGUGGGAGCUAUGUUAAUUAGAUAACCCAAGCACCAGAAUCUGUGUUGCUCAACACGAGUAUCUGCUGAAAUCCCACAUCUGUGGAGAACCGCUGCAGCUUCCUGUGAAGAUGCAGAUCAUUCCAAAACCACUGCUGUCAUCCAAGAUAACAAAAUCCAGUUACAUGUUUCAUUUGUCCCUCCCACACACCCAGGUGCUGUUGGGCACAUGUCUAUAAGUGUACACAGUAUUCUUGCAGACUGCUGAACAUUGUCUUUCUGACAGCAAUAAGUCUAAACCAAAGCCCUUACUCACAUCAGCCUCUGAUCAGAUCUCUAAAGCAGCAAGAUAGAAUUGCGUAGGGCUAAGACUGUAUUUCUGCUUUCUGCUAAGAAAGAAUGGACUCAAUAUGCAUCUCCUACUCUAGCUGCCUGCUGUGAAGCUGUGGAAGUCUUAAUGCUCCACAAGGAUCCUCCACUAUUUAGUGGUAUUAGGGGAAAAAAAAAUUUAAAAUUCUAGUUAAUGCCAGAAGACAGCUCCCAAAGGAACUCCGUGCCAGUGCAGCCAGAAACAAAUUUUUAUUCCAGUGUCAUCAUGGUGAGAAAUAUCAUUGCCCAAAAAAGUUUAGACUAAGUUAGUUAUUUGUUUAAGAAGAUAAAAUAGCAUUCACUAAAAAGUUUAUAUUUUAAAAGACAUGAUCUUUGCACUGGUGUAAGAAAUAUGAUAUUUCUGACCCAUGCUUUUUGAGGUGCAAUUUCAGAAUUGUAGUGCUAAGAUGAAUCUCCUUUGGUUUUGCUCUCCUCCUUUUCCCUGCCUCCUCCUUCUCAUAUCUGAAAGCACCCAGUUACUUUCUUCUUCAUUUUCUCAUAUAGGAAGCACAGAGAAAAAGGAAGACCUCCUUAAAGAUUUUGGUCCAUAUCUCUUCUGAAGCAAAGUGUUUAGGAACUAAAAAUACACUGCUUUUAAUUUUAAAUGGGAUUCACUUAAGUUUAAAAGAAGUUUUUGGUUGAAUUCACACAAUUUUGAAAGAAAUAAGUCUGGGAUACCAUAUUCUAUAAUGGUGUCAGCAGAAGCUGAGUGACUCUAAAGAUAUGUGAUACUGGCUGAAGCUGCCUGUGACACCAAUAUACCAGGGGAGAGGAGGCUACAAGGGAAGUAAGCACACUUGUUCCAUGUUUUGUUUGCUAUCACUGGAUCUUCACAUUAAUUGUUGGUUGUAGUCAGCCUUGAAACUUGCUCUCCAAUUGCCAAAGUAAUGCUUCAUAUGAGAAGUAGAGGGCUGCUCUCCACAAAGGAGACUGCAGUCGAUAUUUAUUUUGCAGUAUGAUACUUGAAUUUUUUUUGCAAUAGGAUACUUAACAUUCUUACUUAGCAUGUGUUUAAUAUUAACUACAUAUUUUCCUUUUAGCAUUAAAGUACUUAAGAAAAAACAUUGAAUCAGCAACCUAAAUGGAUUAGAUUAUCCCAUCCUAGCUUUAAAUCACAUUUGACAGAAACUCUAUAUCACUGUCAGAGAAUACAAUAAUUAUGGCAGAACUAAUUAUUUUCAUGUCUAAUUUCACCUUAUCACUAAGGUCUGACUUUUUCCUUUUGUUUUCUGUUACUCUUCACUCAGAUGUUUAACUCCAAGAUUCAUUGACGCGACUGGAAGGAUAGCUGAUCUUUCCUCUUCCUGCAACUAAUCCUGAUAGCAGACUGAAGAAAGCUUCCAUUUCAAGAGAUCGUGCAAGACAAUGUCUGUCUUCCUUAUGAAUUGUACUACUAAGCAACCCUGCCUCUUGCAAUGCAGGAUGUUCUAGGUAUGUUUUAGAGGAAAAAGAAACCAACAAACCACCAUCCACUUUAUCCUUUCCUAUUUUCUUUACUACAUCUCUGUGAAAUGAGAUGCAUACAGUGCCUCAAAUAAAAUGUAGCAUAUUUAAGAGAAUGGAGACUCAGUAUCUGCAAACACAAUAGCAGAUGAUACAAUUACAGUUAAAAUUUAAUUUUUUGGAGGGUGCAGUCAAUUAUGUUGAAGCUGAUAAAACUGGACAAUGGUAUUUUUGUUUACAUAAUAGGCAACAGUUACAUUUGUUCCCAAAACAAAUAUAAUAAUUAGUUUAAAUGGACAGUAUGGUCAGAAUUCAAGGGGGUGUGCUGUUGUUUAGGGAAGCAAAGUACUUUAGAAAUAUUAUGAUGUGUAAAGUAUCUGGAAAUUUGAUUGAAGCUAAUGCAUUCUCAAAGCUCUAAAACUUAGCUGGUUAUUUCUGUACUGGCAUAUGGAUUUAGGAACUAUACCUGGAGUCAUUUAAGGCCAGCAUAAAGAAGUCAAUAUUUCUCCUCAAACUUACACCAAGAAAUGUGUAAUGACAUAACUGUAUACAAAGACUAAUACUAAGUCCUCCUAACAGCAUUAAAACUUUGAAAUUUAUUUGCUGUGUAUGGGAAAAUCAAGGUGUGCUCUAUAUUCACCAAGAAUUUGGUUUAUAUAUUGGCAUCUCUCUAAAAUUAUUUUUCACAUACCACAAUCCAAUCAAAAAUUUUUUUUUUCAAUCCAUGCAAAUAAAAGCUGGACAGGUGUUCAGAUUUAAUGCACUGGGCUCUUUAGUAAAAGCUUUUGCAGAAAGAAAGGCUUAAAGAGGAAAUUUGAUAACUAAUGCACCAAAGUAAUAUUUAUAAGGCUUUUAUUUCCAGUGAAGAAAGAAUGCUAAAUGGUUUUUGGGAGAUUAAUUUUGAUUUUAGUUCCUGCAUGUAUGAAUGUAAUGUACAUCCUGUGGCUUGGAGUAACACAUAAUUAGUAACUAAGAACUGUGGACUUACUUAACAAAAUAGUAAAUUAUGGGCAUGACUGCCAAGAUGUGCAAAAAGUUUUGAGAAUUAGUAAUAGCACCUGUACAUUUUUUUUCAGUUAUAUGUGUGCAAUAAAAUAUCUGAAUAAAUAGUUAUUAAAUACAUGUUUAUUUAAUAUAAGUGUCUAGGAGCGAGCUACUGUGGUGUGGGCUUUCUUCUCCUAUGAAAACACAAUUUUGAGGUAUCUGGUAGAAUGGAGAUAAGGGAGGAAGAAAUUAAAAUCUUUGCCAUUGUUGUUGUCAUGCUAAAGACAACUGCAAAAUUUAUAUCACUUUCAUUACCUAGCCUUCAUGUCUUCUGUGAUUCUGUGAUCUCUAGGCAGGAUGGGCACCAUACACACACUGAAAAUGGAAUGGAUAACUAAUAUCACAUUAUAUGGUGAAGAAAUCAAAGAAUCAUCUGGGCUGAAAGGAAAAAGUAUGCUUCUUUAUGUGUACAUGAAUAAAUGUAUUUACUUCUGUAUUUAUGUGGCUAGGUAGCUCUGGCCUGAACAGCUGUAUUUUCAGGUAGUCAGGGUCUGAUGUAUUCCAGAUACUGUAGACUCCAGCUCCCAAGGAGCUGACAGCACUUUCUAAGUAGUCAUGCAGUUAAUGCACAAAGCAUAUAUUAGAAAAUAUAGGCAAACAUUUUCUUUUUUUAACUCCUAUAACUGCACCCACCGACUGCUUCUGAAAGGUGAGUAUGCACAUCUUUGCCACAGGUCAGCCAGGAGAUUUAAUUAGCAAAUACCUGUGUAUGGAAGGAACCUUGUGGAGAUAUCCAUUUUAGGAUUAUUUGCAGUCAUAGGGGAACCAGAUUUUGUUACUCUACCAAUAGCUGCAACAGCAAACUAGCUAGCUAGUUUUGGUAGAGAUUGCUACUAAUCUCCACCAAAGCACUCACACACUGUGUACAGUAUAUAAAGUUAUUUGACCUGUGUUCUUAAAUCAGGGAGGCAUGCAGGGUGAUAAAAUUAAUCAGUCCCUUCUUUCUUCUUAAAAGUGUUACCUAAUUUCAGAAAAAAAAUCCUAAUAUUGAAAUAGAAAAUUAAAACUAAAUAUUUUUUUAAAACUUCUAGGAUGUUAGCAGCCGGAGAAAGAGAGGAUCUAUUACUACACUGCUUGUGGAAGAGCCAUUUCAGUGGCAACACCCUUGCAAGAGCUGGAUCUGCAGACAGUUUCUAUUGGGCAACAAAUUUUAUGGCUUCUCCACUCAAGGAAAUGCUUAUUUGUCAGUAUUUGUGAAUUAUGUGGAGCAUGUUGAGUGAUAUGUUUGGAGAAAGGUGGAUAGGUUGGAGUUUGGGGUUUUGUUGGUUUUUUAAUUAGUUUUGUAGAGUAUUUAGGAUCUUUCCUCUCUCUCUCUCUCUCCCCCCCCCCCCCCCCCCCCCUCUCUCUCUCUCUCUCUCUCUCUCUCUCUCUCUUGUUUUUUAUUUUUCUAUAAGAAGACAGUGGGAUCAUCCUGACUGUUUUGGAAUCUUGCACCAACUUUCUUGCAAAGACACAUUUUAGUCUUUUAGACAAAAAGUAGUAACAACUUUUUUCUUAUUUGUAGCAAUCUAGCUAAAAACAGCUCUCUGAAGCUUGGUAAAGUCACCAGCCAUGCAGAUCCAGCGAGGCAUGAGCUGGAAGAGUGCUGAGGUUUAGAAGUGUCUGUCAGAGCUCCCAUUUGAUUAAGGUGACAUUCUGCAUCUAUUCAUCUGCAAGACCCAGCUAUGGCCAGAAGUCCCCUUCUUUCUUUGUAUCACAGCUAUACUAAAACUUACAAGUAUUUGUAAGGAAGAUCCAUACAUCACAAAAGGAUUUUCCAAUAUUAUUCUGUCUAAAUAGUAACAUACUUUUAAUCAACAUGGACUCCUCUCUUUCCUUUUCCAGCUUCAUCUGUUGCUACAAGCAUUUUUGUAUUUGCCUCUGUGGACUUCUCCGCAGAAGUUUGCCACUUGUUUAUAAUCUGGCUGCCUUCUCUCAGGGGGAAAUAACUGUGCAAGACUCUAAGGACAGAAGUUCUUCAGUGAGAGUUCCAAAGCAAAUACAGAAAUUGCAGAAACUCUCAGGAAUUUAGGAACAGAAGAAAAAUACCAAAGAUUAAAUAUUCAAAUAAAUUAAUUUUAGAAAUGCAUUAUUUGCAUCUUAAAUCUUGUAAACAAGUUGUCUACAUCAUUAGUUUUUUCUUUUGCUUUCUUAAUGCUAGAUAGAGUACAGCCUUCAAAUUUUUAUGGUCUUUGGUACCCAUCCAGGUCAGUUGCUGUGACCAAGGAAGUCAUAUUGGAUGUACAGAGAUACUUCAAACCUUCAAACCAACAUAAUAAGGAAAGGAAAACUACAUAAUGAGGAGCAUAGAAAUCCAGAGUCUUAAUAAAAGUUUUCAGAUUUUUUGCACAAUAACUUGAUAGAGCUGCAGAGGUUACUUUGAACAAAAGAUAUCAUGGGCCAAAGGCACUAUCUCAAUACAGAGUAAAAUUGUACAAAUAAAAUUAAUACUAUGACAUAUCAACCUUUUUUAACUAAAAUACCCCACCCAACUCAACUCAUCCUCCCCACAAAAAAAAACUCAACCAUGAAAAAAAACCAAGAAAGAAAGGCAGGAACUGUUGUGACAAAAGCUUUGGUUAUAUGAGACUUGUGUACUUCUUUGCUUAUCCUGUGUGACCCUGACUGCCAAGGUUGUGUCAAGGAUUUGCAGGCAAUGUAUCUGAAAGGUGAUGUCUUUUUGAAAUGUGAUAUGCAGAUCCUGCAUGCUUAGCAGAGAGCUGUCAAAAGAUUGCUGGUAGAAGUACUGGUAGGGCAGCAGGUGGCCUGUGAGCUUAGGGGUCCAGUCUAGAUUGAAACCUUGAAAUUCCAUUAUAGUUUCUCAUGGGUGAGUUUCCCCCAUGCUUUUAAACUUGCAUAGACUGAAAUGCAUUUGAGAGAGAGUAGGAAUUGUCUCACUGUGUUCAGUGACACCCUAAAUGCAAGACAACCCCAAUCUUUUCUAACCAGAGUAAAUUUAUCUUACGUUAUUGUGAUUACAGAUCUACAAUAUUCCUAAUAAAGAAAUAAAGUAAAUAGAGAAGAGUGUACUGCACCUAUUGAUUUCAAGAGCCUGUUGCUUUAUUAUGCUGCUUUCUAUUUAAUUCUGUGAUGGAUGUCACAUAGUUUGGAGCAGAGUGACCAAGGUAACUGCAAGAUUAACAUAUUUGUGUAAACAAAUGUGAUUUUGUAUACCUCAAACAAAAUCUGGAGAAGUACUCUUCUGUUACUGAAGUGAAGGAAAAGACCUAGUAAUGUAUAAACACCUUACAUUAAGUGAAGAAAAAAUAUAUUAAGGGGAAAAAGUAAGUUGCACUUAAAUAUCAGAAAGCAAAAGCACAGAACUUGAUAGGGCAGCUGGUGAAACUGCUGAUUUUUAAUUCUGGCUCCUUAUGGGAUUAGUCUCCCAAGUGCCAAAUUAUUCCAUUAUUUCUGGAAAAAAAUUUUUUGUUCAUUCUUUCUGUUAUAGAAGAACUUUUAAAGUAAUUAUCUUUUUCUUUCUUCUUUUAAAAAUGCUGUAGGCUAUUUUUUAAACACGUCUUUCUUUCCCACCAUACCAGACUGGGGACAGGACGAGCCCAGGACUAACUUCACAAGAGGUAUUUAAAAAUAGCAUUAAUUCUCAAACACUGUCUGGCAUUUGCAUCAUUGACCUGGUCUCUGUCUGGUUUACUUUCAAACCCCACCAGAAACAGCUUCAUGUUUUCUUGGCUAUGUUACACUUGCACAGUUGCCUGAUAGCAGAAGUUCAGACUGUCUCUGACUUACAGAGGAAGAAGAUAAGCACCAAGCUGCCCAGGGUUCUUCCCAGACAAUAAGACAAGAAAGAGGCUGUAGGAAAGUACGUGCUUACUACUUCCAACAAGGAUCUGAGCCCAGUUUUCCUGCUUUCUCAAGGAGAGUAUCCUGUCACUGAAAGAAUGAAGUUGAUGAAUGGGUAGCUAUUAUUGCAUGUACCUGGAAAGGAGGAGAAGAAAUCUGCUUACUGGUGCUUGCUCUAAGUGUCUUUAUACUUCAGUCCUCUGAGGACACAGAGAAAAUUAGGCAUCUAAACCUUCCAGAAAUAAAAAGUAUCUUUUUCCUACAAAUGUCAUUGCUACCCUGCUUUGGCAUUAAUUCAAAUGUUCCUCUCUCCUCACCUGCCUGAAAAUAAAAGGAAAUGUCUAUUUACAGGUGUGGGUGAUGUACAUCCAUGCCUGAUGGGUUAGAAAUCAAAUCUCAGUGAAAACAGUGGUAUUCCCUACAAAUUACUUUGGAUAAAUAACUUCAUUGUUCUCAGAGACUUCCAUUCCAUAUGAGACUUAUCUAGCAGAAAUGCCAGGGCUUACCACAUAAAAAUUUAUUUCUAUCAUGAUUUUUUGACAGUCAUCUUGGAAGUUAUUUGGAAGAAAAACACACAUGCAGGGAAGCUUCUGGCUCUCUUUAAGUGAAUUAAACAGAGUUGUGGGAAAAUGUUUCUUCAUUCACAAAAUCAAAUCACCACACUCUUUUCUGGGCUCAUUUGUGCAGCUGCUUUGUACCCAGUCGUGCUGCUCAGCCUUUUGCAUUUCUCAUGCACUCAGCUGAGCUGAGCCAGGACUGUUCAAAAAACUGUGAAACUUGAGAAGUGUGAGGCGUGCUACUCUGUGGCUCCUUGCAGAGCAAAUCACAUGAAUCACAGAGGGCAGAAUUUCAUACCCUGAAUUGUGUAUUCAAACACCACCAGUGAGUCUCUGGCCAUUUCAUACACACAUAAGAAAUAUUUUCUCCAAUUAUAUAUAUUUUUUUUUUGGUCUGUUAUGAAUAAUGUAUACUACAGCUGCAGAUCUCUGAGCAGAAACCUGAUGGAGAAGUAGAGGUUCACGAGCAAAAUGUUGGUAGCAAAGAGAUUCUCUUGUGCUGCUACCAGACACCAGACUCUUGCAUUGUCUGCAAAUAUGGCCUAUUUCCUUUCCAUGGCAGAUGUGGGCAUAAUCUUCAAGGGACAACCCAGAUGUAUCCAUAGACCACUAUUAGCGGGGCUGAGGAUCACACCCUCUCUGUCCUAUUUUUGCCUCUCUGAAAUUCAUUGCAAAAAUGUUUUGAAAAUCCUACAUGCUUUUUUGCCCAUCUCUCUUCUGUUUCCCUUCAACUGAAGAGUAUCUGUAAUUCUGGAAAUGCAUGUAUAUUCAUGCUGCUCUAUUACAGUAAUUGCUUCAAACUGAACGUAAGUACAACUGAAUUAAUAAAUGCAUUUUAAAGGCUAGAUAAAACAGCGUAGAAAGGCAGGAAAUAUAACCCUGAAUAUAUAAGCUCUGGAAAAGCAAUCUAUUUCUUAUGUUCAAUUUUUUUUUUCAUUUUAUGAACCUGAAAACUGAAAAAAAUAUGACCCAAAUUCCUACCACUGCGCUUUUGAUAACUGAACAUCUUCCUCUGUGUGUAGAUUGCAACUAAAAAGUCUGAAAGGAAAGAAACUCUUCCAGCUGUUCUUCCAUUAUUUUCCAAAGUAGCUUGGGAAAUCAUCAAAGAGCUUCUAUGCAUACCUGACUGGGGGUGAUGUCCUGAGCAACAGGCAACAGGCAGAGAUGUUUUCUGUCAGGUCUGCAGAACUGGCUGGGCAGCAGCGCCAGCUGAGCAGCCUCAGGUCAAUGUAAGGGUACUGAGCUCUACAGAAGGAAGUGCUUUCAAGUAUGUUGAAACCACUGGAAUUGUGAUGUGUUUGAUCCACCAUUAUUAGCCACAGUGACUGAAAGCUCUGUUUCAAAGAAAGGCAGUGAAACUAAGUGGUUUGCUAGCACAUUUCAGCCUUGGGACUGUUUUCUGAACUUGCAUGGUUAGGAGUGAAUCUACAAGACUUUUGUCUCAUAACCACGCAGCACAAGUGAGACUGAACUCCAGCCAACACAGACUGGACUAAUUGACAUCUCUUCUUUUGCUAUUUUUUCCUAUUUUUUUUUUUUUUUAAGUAGAUUUAAUUUUAACUAUGGAGAAGCCAAGAUUCCAAAUCUCAUUGCCAAACCAGAACACUUUUCUAAUGUUUAUGCCCCUUGAAUACUGAUAACUGGUGCUGGUGGAAUGUUGUUGGUUUCUAUCUAGAAAGCAGGUCAUUGUCAUACAGAGUCCUGCUGAGUGGCACAGCGCUGUCCUUGCCCACAGUGGAGAAGCAGACCCUGUGGUUUCUUCACAGUAGUAGUUUGUUCUUCACAUCAGUAGUUGUGAGCCUGUCCCAAUGAGUGACAGCUUAUCACAUUUUAGAUGUGAUAAGAAAAGCAAUUUUAAGUCUAUUAGAGCAUUUAAGAAACAGAGGAAUGUAGUGAUACAGUGGUGUGGGGGGAAGAACAGAGGUUAUAGUCUGCUGCCCCACUGAGGGGCCAUGGC